RNAcentral lists this ribosomal RNA (458 nucleotides) under uncultured Glomus. Its description in RNAcentral is "SSU rRNA". It matches the Rfam family "Eukaryotic small subunit ribosomal RNA", at positions 569 to 1031 of the family's 1831-position model. The record is from RNAcentral. Lineage: Eukaryota; Fungi; Glomeromycota; Glomeromycetes; Glomerales; Glomeraceae.
CGCAGCCGCGGUAAUUCCAGCUCCAAUAGCGUAUAUUAAAGUUGUUGCAGUUAAAAAGCUCGUAGUUGAAUUUCGGGAUCAAUAUGUUGGUCGUGCCUUGGUACGUACUGGCAUUAUCGAUUCCUACCUUCUGAAGAACCCCGAUGUCAUUAAUUUGGUGUCUUGGGGAAUCAGGACUGUUACUUUGAAAAAAUUAGAGUGUUUAAAGCAGGCUCGCGCUUGAAUACAUUAGCAUGGAAUAAUGAAAUAGGACGUUUGAUUCUAUUUUGUUGGUUUCUAGGAUCGACGUAAUGAUUAAUAGGGAUAGUUGGGGGCAUUAGUAUUCAAUUGUCAGAGGUGAAAUUCUUGGAUUUAUUGAAGACUAACUACUGCGAAAGCAUUUGCCAAGGAUGUUUUCAUUAAUCAAGAACGAAAGUUAGGGGAUCGAAGACGAUCAGAUACCGUCGUAGUCUUAAACC